CCAUUGGUUAUGGUUUAGGCAGGUAAUGCUGGCCUCGGUAAUGCUGGCCUCGGAAAUGCUGGUCCUCGGUAAAUUACUGGCCUCGGUAAAUACUGGCCUCGGUAAUACUGGGCUCGGUAAUACUUGGCUCGGUAAUACUGGCCUCGGUAAUGCUGGCCUCAGAACAGCAUGGACCAUAACAUUUGUUUGUUGUUUCCCAUGAGAUUCAGGUGAGUUUUGUAACUGUGCAGUCACAACCUGACUGAUAAUGUUUAAAAAACAACCUGAACUUGUCCAAUAAAAUGUAUUUUUUAAACCGUACAUGCUUAUGGCUGAGUUGAUCCGCUUUCAAUCAAUGAUGCUUCUACACAGGUCUUAGAAGGAACUGAAAUCCCGUGUUCAUUUAGAAGGGACAGAUGUGAUUGGAGCUGAAAUCCCGUGUUCAUUUAGAAGGGAGAGAUGUGAUUGUAUACAAAUGUAAGCGGUUUACAAAUUGACAGCAAGAAGCCCACACAGAUCAUGUUUGACUAAAAUAUAUUUUCAGUCUACAAAUGAUUUGUAAUUAUGUUCCCCCCGAUUUUAAAUAUACUCAAAUAUCAAAAGUAAAAAUAUAAAUCAUUUCAAAUUCCUUAUAUUAAGCAGAGCAGACGGCAAAAUGUUCUUGUUUUUAACAUUUGCGGAUAGCCAGGGGCACACUCCAACAUAAUUGACAAAAGAUGCAUUUGUGUUCAGUGAGUCUGCUAGAUCAGAGGCAGCAGGGAUGACCAGGUGUUCUCCUGAUACCUGUGUGAAUUGGACUGUUUUCCUAACAAGGGAAAAUGUAUGGAGUAAAAAGUACAUGAUUUUCUUUAGGAAUGUAGGUAAGUAAAAGUUUUCAAAAAUGUAUAUACUAGUAUAGGCAAGUUUCUCAUGAAGUCAGAGGCAGGCUGCUGUUGUUGAUCCUAGUUUGUCUGUAACGUCAAAUUAAAAGUGAUCAUACUUAUGUAUUGAUAGUACCGUUUUUUUUUUGCUUCUCAUGUUUGGGUUCCCUGUGUUGCCAAUCUGAAAUGUGAGAGAUAUGGUAGCCUAAUCUUUGGCAUGUUUUAAUCAUUUACACUAUUUAUCGUCAAGGGGUGUAGCGCUUGUUUCGGGCCGCAGAUGGAGCCGGUCGCUGUAGUGGUCUCUUCCCGUUCUGUCUCUCUCCACAGCGGUUCUCUCACUAGCCUGCCGGGGCAGCCGAAUGACACAGACACCAGAUAAACGGAAUAUAUUUUAAACGUUAUCCGGGUGAGCGAGUUAUAAAGCAUAUGGUAUGAAACACCAAGAAGCGGGGGGAGUAAAUGUAGUAUUGUUGUUGUUGACGUUUUGAUAGUUUAAUUAGUUGAUCCGUUAGCAUAGAAGCUAACGGUCAAGCUAGCCUGGGGGGUGUCAUGGCAACAGGACCAACGAGCGGCUGUUCACACAGAGUGGAAACAGGAACACAUCACUUCCUGUUUUUAGGGAAAGGUUGACAAUUAUAUGAUGAAUGUAUCUAUGAGAUAAGAUGAGGAUGUAUACCUUUUUACAAAUAGUUUUUAGUAUGUUGGCUAUUUAGAAUUGUAUAUGAGUAUCCAAGUCAGCUGAAUAAGAGAGAGACAACUGUAUUGAAGAGAGAAGCCCCUGAUAAAUUAUUUUAAAUCUUCAUUGUUUCAGACUCCAUUCAUUCUUCUCACCAUACCCUGUCCAGGUCCCAAG
This 1692-nucleotide long non-coding RNA is filed under the name Oncorhynchus kisutch (coho salmon). Its description in RNAcentral is "lncRNA (ENSOKIG00005026577.1)". Lineage: Eukaryota; Metazoa; Chordata; Actinopteri; Salmoniformes; Salmonidae. The record is from RNAcentral.